GCUUGUCUCAAAGAUUAAGCCAUGCAUGUCUAAGUGUAAAUAAGUCUAUACUGUGAAACUGCGAAUGGCUCAUUAAAUCAGUUAUCGUUUAUUUGAUGAUCUCUUACUACUUGGAUAACCGUAGUAAUUCUAGAGCUAAUACAUGCACAAAAUCCCGACUUACGAAGGGAUGUAUUUAUUAGAUACAAACCAACAUCGUGGUGAUUCAUAAUAACUUUGCGAAUCGUAUGCCUCACGGCGACGAUGAAUCAUUCAAGUUUCUGACCUAUCAGCUUCCGACGGUAGGGUAUUGGCCUACCGUGGCAAUGACGGGUAACGGAGAAUUAGGGUUCGAUUCCGGAGAGGGAGCCUGAGAAACGGCUACCACAUCUAAGGAAGGCAGCAGG
This 386-nucleotide ribosomal RNA is filed under the name uncultured Katablepharidophyta. Its description in RNAcentral is "partial small subunit ribosomal RNA". It matches the Rfam family "Eukaryotic small subunit ribosomal RNA", at positions 30 to 432 of the family's 1831-position model. The record is from RNAcentral. Lineage: Eukaryota; Cryptophyceae; Kathablepharidacea.